ACGGGAGGCAGCAGUGGGGAAUAUUGGGCAAUGGGGGAAACCCUGACCCGGCAACGCCGCGUGAAGGAAGAAGGCCUUCGGGUUGUAAACUUCUUUUACCAGGGACGAAGAACGUGACGGUACCUGGAGAAAAAGCAACGGCUAACUACGUGCCAGCAGCCGCGGUAAUACGUAGGUUGCAAGCGUUGUCCGGAUUUACUGGGUGUAAAGGGCGCGUAGGCGGAGCUGCAAGUCAGAUGUGAAAUCCCGGGGCUCAACCCCGGAACUGCAUUUGAAACUGUAGCCCUUGAGUAUCGGAGAGGCAAGCGGAAUUCCUUGUGUGGCGGUGAAAUGCGUAGAUAUAAGGAAGAACACCAGUGGCGAAGGCGGUCUACUGGACAGUAACUGACGCUGAGGCGCGAAAGCGUGGGGAGCAAACAGGAUUAGAUACCCUGGUA
This 437-nucleotide ribosomal RNA is filed under the name uncultured Oscillospiraceae bacterium. RNAcentral describes it as "bacterial SSU rRNA". It matches the Rfam family "Bacterial small subunit ribosomal RNA", at positions 341 to 792 of the family's 1533-position model. The record is from RNAcentral. Lineage: Bacteria; Bacillati; Bacillota; Clostridia; Eubacteriales; Oscillospiraceae.